Molecule: long non-coding RNA, 405 nt
Organism: Carassius gibelio (silver crucian carp)
Lineage: Eukaryota; Metazoa; Chordata; Actinopteri; Cypriniformes; Cyprinidae
Exons: 3
Source: RefSeq, a predicted model, not a curated record
CAAUGAUUGAGAAGCAGUUUGACCAAUGGCGUGCGUAAGGCGGGACUUAACAAGAAAGGUCAAAACAGUGCAGAAACGCACACCAAAAAUUGUCUACCAUAGAAAGCAAAAGGGGAAAUUUCCUGCGACAUUGUGAGGUCAUCAUACUGGUGCACCCUUGGCCUUGUCAGUGGGUGAGGUCACAUCACUAAACUGUCUGAAGAAGCAUCAACAUGGAGAUUGAAUUGGAGACCAUUGUUCUGUUCGAAUUGUAGUUUGUGGAAGAUGCAAUGAUGAAAUUAAUUUGAAUUGUCAAUGUUGUAUUUUAAGCAUAUAAGCGAUGUUCAGAUGAUGGUACUGUAGCACUGUUUAAAGUUUUUAAUAUUGUUGUUAUUUACAAUGGAAACUACUGUAACAGAAGAAAAU